GAACUACAAUUUUUUUUUAUUAUUAUUUGUAGGAGAGUGAAAUCCAUAAAUUUAUAGAGAGCAUAGCUCUGUACACCGGGAGAAGCUGGCGGAACAACCUCAAUUCAAAGGCGAAAAUUGCAGCAUACAAGAUUUGUUGGUUGGAGUCUGGAUUACUUUGAUUCCAACAUUCUUCUAGUUAUGGAUCAAGCCAUUGCAACUCCUUAUUUUUAUUGAAGAAAAAAUAGUAAAGAAGUCCUCUCUAAAACUCCUAAACUCAAUCCAUCACUAUCAACACCUUUACCCCAACUUCUGCAAUCGAUGAAGAAUCCAUGAUAAAAACUCCACCAUCAAUAAACCAAUAAAAAGAAAAGGCAAUUGCUCUAUUUUGUAAUGUUUUCUUGAUACCUCAUAUUAACGAUUUACGCUUCCUUUGUUUGCAGCCCUUCCCUUUGAUUUUUUUUUUUUUUUU
RNAcentral lists this unclassified non-coding RNA (451 nucleotides) under Hevea brasiliensis (rubber tree). Lineage: Eukaryota; Viridiplantae; Streptophyta; Magnoliopsida; Malpighiales; Euphorbiaceae. The record is from RNAcentral.